RNAcentral lists this microRNA precursor (75 nucleotides) under Pelobates cultripes (western spadefoot toad). Lineage: Eukaryota; Metazoa; Chordata; Amphibia; Anura; Pelobatidae. The record is from RNAcentral.
UGCUAGUGUGUGUGUGUGUGUGUGUGUGUCUGUUUGUCAGAUCCAUACACACACACACACACACACACACACACA